GACGAACGCUGGCGGCGUGCCUAAUACAUGCAAGUAGAACGCUGAAGGCGGAGCUUUCUUCUCUGGUUGAGUUGCGAACGGGUGAGUAACGCGUAGGUAACCUGCCUGUUAGCGUGGGAUAACUAUUGGAAACGAUAGCUAAUACCGCAUAAGAGUUGCUGUUGCACGACAUUUGCUUAAAAGUUGCAAUUGCAUCACUACCAGUUGCACCUGCGUUGUAUUAGCUUGUUGGUGUGGUAACGGCUCACCAAGGCGACGAUACAUCGUCGAACUGAGAGGGUGAGUGGCCACACUGAGAGUGAGACACGGCACAGACGGCUACGGGAGGCAGCAGGAGGGAAACGUGGGCAAUGGACGGAAGUCUGAGCGAGAAACGCCGCGUGAGUGAAGAAGGAUUUCGGAUCGUAAAGCUCUGUUGUAAGAGAAGAACGAGUGUGAGAGUGGAAAGUUCACACUGUGACGGUAUCUUACCAGAAAGGAACGGCUAACUACGUG
Molecule: ribosomal RNA, 495 nt
Filed under: uncultured bacterium
Lineage: Bacteria
Description: partial 16S ribosomal RNA
Rfam family: Bacterial small subunit ribosomal RNA
Source: RNAcentral